UAGAUGAAUGUGGUAGAUGCAA
This 22-nucleotide non-coding RNA is filed under the name Arabidopsis thaliana (thale cress). Lineage: Eukaryota; Viridiplantae; Streptophyta; Magnoliopsida; Brassicales; Brassicaceae. The record is from RNAcentral.